This 2176-nucleotide long non-coding RNA is filed under the name Triticum aestivum (bread wheat). Its description in RNAcentral is "long non-coding RNA (TAES_LNC016750)". The record is from RNAcentral. Lineage: Eukaryota; Viridiplantae; Streptophyta; Magnoliopsida; Poales; Poaceae.
UGACAGUCUUUUGAUGAUUUCAGAUUCUGAAGCGCACAAGAAGGUCGCUGGAUCUGCAUCGAUUUUAAGCCAGGUGUGUUGCCCUUAAUUUCGAUCUGGUUCUUUUACAAUUAUCCUAGCUAGGUUGAUGUGAAAACAAGCAGUUCUUACCAUUACAAGCCAGGUGGGUGGUUGUUCUCUGGUUUUGGUGGGUAAAAGGAACGACGAUACCUCAAGUUGAAGAUCAAAUCCAGCUGUUUGUCAUCAACAGCAGGCUAGCACACUCAAUCAUACCCAUAACCCACGAGUUGAUGAAAGUUUAGGAUCUCCACGAGUAAGUUUCAAUGACAACAAGACCAGCCAAGCCAUGAGGCUCAGAAAUUCAAGAAUCCAUGAGAUUGUUGUGAUGGUGUCAGCUUCAGGAACGCACGAGGAGGUCACCAAGAUCGAUCUGAUGCCGGCUUCUUGAUUUGUGACGACAGGUAAUGGUCCGGUUUUAGUUGCUAUCCAUUGUUUCCCUUGAAUUCAAAAAUAAUCUGGAAUUGAUCUGUAGCAUAAUUGUUGAUCAUCCUCGUUAGUUGUUACUGCCAGCAUAGUUAAACAUGGUGUGCAUAUCCUCUUUCACUAAAAUUACAGUAGUGUUGAAAUUUCUAGCCUACUCAAGUUAACAUUCUUGUUGCGUGUGGACUUCCUAAAGUGAAUACGGUAGUUUCUUUUAAUUGAAGUCAUUUUAAACUGUAUCCAAUAAUAUAUCAAUAUCUCUUAAUGACUAUAUGGUAUUAUAGCUUUGUUUUCUUAUUCCUUUUCUCGAUUGCGGUACAUAUUUCUAGCAACUUAAUAAACAACUCUAGCUAUUUGUUUCUCCAUACAUGUGGAGAUACUUUAUGUAGAUAUUGAGAAAACCAUGGAAUUAAGUUACCAAAACUUAUCUCAUUAGCCAACUAUCUGAAAGUAGAAUAUUAUUCAUAUUGGGGAGUUGGCUUGGUAUUCAGAUUUGACUUCAAUAUUUGGGAGAUUUUAACUCGGGUGUCCCUAUGUGAAGCGAAGGAUGCAAAGUCAGUUGUUUUUGUCUGGUGUCACCCGUUGUUGUCUUUUUUUUUGGAUGAAAACAAUAGGUGAUUGCCUACUACAAUUUUAUAAAAAGUGAGAACACGUACAAAUACAUGGAGGGUAAAAAAGGAAAGAAAAAACACUACCUAAAUAUUUUCAGCAAGGUGUACAUGCCAUAUUAAGAUUUUGUUUCUGUUAUGUGAAAGAUCAGAUGUAUCCCCUCCUUGAAAGUUUGUCGCCACCUGUAUUGAUUAAGUGAAAUUUUAUUGAAGAUGAAGCUAUUUCGACAUCCUCAAUGCUCCCAAGUAAUUGCACUGAUGAACUCUAUAAAGAAAGGAACUCCCAAAGCCUUCUUAGGAGUUAGGAGAACUAACCUUUAUUUUUUAUCCUUGUAGAGUGACUCCUGGGCAUAAGCAAUUCCAGCAGGCUUUAGCAAACUGGCAAUUAGAUAAUUUAUGUUCCUCAGAUUCAAGUGCAUUCUGAUCACACAUGACACAGCCAUAAGAGAGGAUAAAAAUGUGCUUCCUUUGUAGCAUUUCUCUAUUGUUAAGCAUGUUCAUUACCCAAAGCCAGAAGAACACCUUAUGCCUCAGUUGACAUCAUGAUUUUCAAAGCCAGUUGAAUUGAGCAGGGAUCUCUUGGUACCCAACAAUAAUUCUGUAAACUUUACUAGUACAAUAUCCAGGUGAUUUCCAAGGAUAGCGCCAGGUGUCUGAGUUGGCAUUAGCCUGAAUGGAUUGCAACAUCAUUUUUAAAUCCUGAAACUUGAUCUUGUCAGCUGAUAAUAUUAAGUUUGCCACACUUGAUAUAAGAGUCCCAAGCUUUCUAAAAUUCUCAUGGAUCUGUCUGUUUUAAGUACCUUUUUGUUUGAUUCUGUGGGUUAGAGGUACAAAGAUUAACAGUAUCAAAUAUGAGUUUAGUAGAAUUACCUUGAUUUUUUUGCUUAUUACACUUUUCUAUUCUGGUUGGAAGGUUUAAAAGUUUUUUGACAAAUGUGUGGUACUAGCAGAAUGCACUGAUGAUUUAAUUAAUACAUCACCUCAAUUUGCAGUGGCCAUUCUAAUGAUACCGAGGAAAAUAUACAAGUAGGCUACCACCCAACAGACAGAUAUUAGUAAUUCUCAGAAAAUAAUGGCGGAGAUUGUGA